This 305-nucleotide unclassified non-coding RNA is filed under the name plant metagenome. RNAcentral describes it as "partial contains 5.8S ribosomal RNA, internal transcribed spacer 2, and large subunit ribosomal RNA". The stretch from base 1 to 105 matches the Rfam family "5.8S ribosomal RNA", at positions 50 to 154 of the family's 154-position model. The record is from RNAcentral.
GAAAUGCGAUAAGUAGUGUGAAUUGCAGAAUUCAGUGAAUCAUCGAAUCUUUGAACGCACAUUGCGCCCUUUGGUAUUCCUUAGGGCAUGCCUGUUCGAGCGUCAUUUGUAACCUCAAGCUCAGCUUGGUGUUGGGUGUCUGUCCCCGCCCCGCGCGGGGACUCGCCUCAAAAACAUUGGCGGCCGGUACGUUGGCUUCGAGCGCAGCAGAAACGCGAACUUGAGGCCCGACGGAUCGGCGACCAGAAGUCACUUCUUCCACAGCUUGACCUCGGAUCAGGUAGGGAUACCCGCUGAACUUAAGC